Molecule: long non-coding RNA, 202 nt
Organism: Mytilus californianus (California mussel)
Lineage: Eukaryota; Metazoa; Mollusca; Bivalvia; Mytilida; Mytilidae
Exons: 2
Source: RefSeq, a predicted model, not a curated record
AUAACCAAUAAAAUGCUUCGCUUUACACAAUAUUCGCGCUUGAUACAGGUCUGAAUUUGGAUUGUAAAUAAAUAUUUGACACAUAAUAGGUUUCUGACACAGAAUAACUGUAGUCAAAGAACUUAAAAAUUGGUUAUAUGAUUUGAAUUUAUAUUCAAUUUUUUGCUUUUGUGCAAUACACUAUGCUGUUGAAUAUUAACCC